GGAAUAAGAACACGUCGACGAUGA
Molecule: non-coding RNA, 24 nt
Filed under: Drosophila melanogaster (fruit fly)
Lineage: Eukaryota; Metazoa; Arthropoda; Insecta; Diptera; Drosophilidae
Source: RNAcentral